UACGGAGGGAGCUAGCGUUGUUCGGAAUUACUGGGCGUAAAGCGCACGUAGGCGGCUUUUUAAGUCAGGGGUGAAAUCCCGGGGCUCAACCCCGGAACUGCCCUUGAAACUGGAGAGCUAGAAUCUUGGAGAGGCGAGUGGAAUUCCGAGUGUAGAGGUGAAAUUCGUAGAUAUUCGGAAGAACACCAGUGGCGAAGGCGGCUCACUGGCCCGAUACUGACGCUGAGGCACGAAAGCUAGGGUAGCGAACGGG
This 253-nucleotide ribosomal RNA is filed under the name uncultured bacterium. RNAcentral's name for it is "partial 16S ribosomal RNA". It matches the Rfam family "Bacterial small subunit ribosomal RNA", at positions 524 to 776 of the family's 1533-position model. The record is from RNAcentral.